UACAGAGGUCCCAAGCGUUGUUCGGAUUCAUUGGGCGUAAAGGGUGCGUAGGCGGCAGGGUAAGUUGGAUGUGAAAUAUUGGGGCUCAACCUCGAAACUGCAUUCAAUACUGCCUUGCUCGAGUGCUGGAUAGGAGACUGGAAUUUACGGUGUAGCAGUGAAAUGCGUAGAUAUCGUAAGGAAGACCAGUGGCGAAGGCGAGUCUCUGGACAGCUACUGACGCUGAGGCACGAAGGCCAGGGGAGCAAACGGG
This 253-nucleotide ribosomal RNA is filed under the name uncultured bacterium. Its description in RNAcentral is "partial 16S ribosomal RNA". It matches the Rfam family "Bacterial small subunit ribosomal RNA", at positions 524 to 776 of the family's 1533-position model. The record is from RNAcentral.